RNAcentral lists this non-coding RNA (24 nucleotides) under Strongylocentrotus purpuratus (purple sea urchin). Lineage: Eukaryota; Metazoa; Echinodermata; Echinoidea; Camarodonta; Strongylocentrotidae. RNAcentral also lists the same sequence under 1 other name. The record is from RNAcentral.
AACCCUGUAGAUCCGAAUUUGUGU